Molecule: unclassified non-coding RNA, 193 nt
Filed under: uncultured fungus
Lineage: Eukaryota; Fungi
Description: sequence contains ITS1
Source: RNAcentral
UUAACUAUUAAAAUAUAGUACUCAGACGACACUAACAUUCAGAGUUUGGGGUCCUCUGGCAGGCACUUACCAGCUAAAGCCGGUAGCCGAAGCGGCCUACCAAAGCAACAAAGGUAUAGUAUUCAAGGGUGGGAGAUCUACCCGAUAGGGCAUGAACUCUGUAAUGAUCCUUCCGCAGGUUCACCUACGGAAA